Molecule: transfer RNA, 72 nt
Filed under: Camelus dromedarius (Arabian camel)
Lineage: Eukaryota; Metazoa; Chordata; Mammalia; Artiodactyla; Camelidae
Also listed under: 1 other name
Rfam family: tRNA
About the family: Transfer RNA (tRNA) molecules are approximately 80 nucleotides in length. Their secondary structure includes four short double-helical elements and three loops (D, anti-codon, and T loops). Further hydrogen bonds mediate the characteristic L-shaped molecular structure. tRNAs have two regions of fundamental functional importance: the anti-codon, which is responsible for specific mRNA codon recognition, and the 3' end, to which the tRNAs corresponding amino acid is attached (by aminoacyl-tRNA synthetases). tRNAs cope with the degeneracy of the genetic code in two manners: having more than one tRNA (with a specific anti-codon) for a particular amino acid; and 'wobble' base-pairing, i.e. permitting non-standard base-pairing at the 3rd anti-codon position.
Source: Rfam by way of RNAcentral
GAGGGUAUAGCUCAGUGGUACAGCACAUGCCUAGCGCACACAAGGUCCUGGGUUCAAUCCCCAGUGUCUCCA